GACGAACGCUGGCGGCGUGCUUAAUACAUGCAAGUCGAGCGAGGUUACUGUUUUGGAUCCCUUCGGGGUGAAGAAGCUUUAACCUAGCGGCGGACGGGUGAGUAACGCGUGGGUAACCUACCCCAAAGUCCGGGAUAACAGCGGGAAACCGCUGCUAAUACCGGAUGUCUUUACCUUGGGGCAUCUUGAGGUAAAGAAAGGUAACGCUUUGGGAUGGGCCCGCGUCCCAUUAGCUAGUUGGUGGGGUAACGGCUCACCAAGGCGACGAUGGGUAGCCGGCCUGAGAGGGUGGACGGCCACACUGGGACUGAGACACGGCCCAGACUCCUACGGGAGGCAGCAGUAGGGAAUAUUGCGCAAUGGACGGAAGUCUGACGCAGCGACGCCGCGUGAGCGAUGAAGGUCUUCGGAUCGUAAAGCUCUGUCCUUGGGGAAGAAGGCGAAAGCUUGACGGUACCCAAGAAGAAAGCCCCGGCUAACUACGUGCCAGCAGCCGCGGUAAUACGUAGGGGGCGAGCGUUGUCCGGAAUUACUGGGCGUAAAGGGUGCGUAGGCGGCCCUUUAAGUCGGAUGUGAAAGCCCGCGGCUUAACCGCGGAAUGGCAUUCGAAACUGGAGGGCUUGAGUGUCGGAGAGGGUAGUGGAAUUCCCAGUGUAGCGGUGAAAUGCGUAGAUUUUGGGGAGGAACACCAGUGGCGAAGGCGACUACCUGGACGAUAACUGACGCUGAGGCACGAAAGCUAGGGGAGCAAACAGG
Molecule: ribosomal RNA, 756 nt
Filed under: uncultured bacterium
Lineage: Bacteria
Description: bacterial SSU rRNA
Rfam family: Bacterial small subunit ribosomal RNA
Source: RNAcentral